UUCGGCAGAUUUAGCUUGUUUCUAGUGGCGGACGGGUGAGUAACGCGUGGGUAACCUGCCUCACACUGGGGGAUAACAGUCAGAAGUGGCUGCUAAUACCGCAUAAGCGCACAGCAUCGCAUGAUGCAGUGUGAAAAACUCCGGUGGUGUGAGAUGGACCCGCGUUGGAUUAGCUAGUUGGCAGGGCGGCGGCCUACCAAGGCGACGAUCCAUAGCCGGCCUGAGAGGGUGAACGGCCACAUUGGGACUGAGACACGGCCCAGACUCCUACGGGAGGCAGCAGUGGGGAAUAUUGCACAAUGGGGGAAACCCUGAUGCAGCGACGCCGCGUGAAGGAAGAAGUAUCUCGGUAUGUAAACUUCUAUCAGCAGGGAAGAAAAUGACGGUACCUGACUAAGAAGCCCCGGCUAACUACGUGCCAGCAGCCGCGGUAAUACGUAGGGGGCAAGCGUUAUCCGGAUUUACUGGGUGUAAAGGGAGCGUAGACGGUGUUGCAAGUCUGAUGUGAAAGGCGGGGGCUCAACCCCUGGACUGCAUUGGAAACUGUGAUACUCGAGUGCCGGAGAGGUAAGCGGAAUUCCUAGUGUAGCGGUGAAAUGCGUAGAUAUUAGGAGGAACACCAGUGGCGAAG
This 631-nucleotide ribosomal RNA is filed under the name uncultured Lachnospiraceae bacterium. RNAcentral's name for it is "bacterial SSU rRNA". It matches the Rfam family "Bacterial small subunit ribosomal RNA", at positions 76 to 720 of the family's 1533-position model. The record is from RNAcentral. Lineage: Bacteria; Bacillati; Bacillota; Clostridia; Lachnospirales; Lachnospiraceae.